GCUGCAAUAUUUUUAUGUUUAACAUAGCAUUCAAUUCAGAACUUAUAGCCGGAGAAGUUAGAAGUUAUAUACUUAUAUUGUAGAUAUUCAACAGCGUUUAGCGAGAGGAAACCAAGAUGACGUCAGUUACGACUAUGUUCUGUUCAGAUUGGAUUGGGUUAUCAACCUUUUGACACGAUAGUCGAUAUACUUCAGAUUAACGAAACACAGAGAGAAAUGUGUUUGAGAUAGUUAUUACUCUUCUUCGAGAGGUGAAGGACAUAUGCUAUCCCGCGAGAAUUCCGUUUCCAUUGCGUAUCGCGUGGAUAGAAUCUUCACUGGGGUGCAUCGUGGGUGCAUGGAAGGCCUAGGUUUGACAUCCAGAGAGAACUUUUAAUUUAUAUUGGCAAAAUUCGUGAUAAAAGAAAACUUAGCAUGAUUAUGCAUUAUAAAUUAUCAUAAAUUAGCUUAUUCGUUCCUGCACUUCCGGCGAUUUGGAAGUUAGAACCGAAUUUGAGAUCGCAGAACCGAAUUUGAGAUUGCAGAACCGAAUUUGAGAAUAGGCCGUGAAUUCUAUUCUGUUGUUUUGAAU
Paramuricea clavata is the source of this 571-nucleotide non-coding RNA. Lineage: Eukaryota; Metazoa; Cnidaria; Anthozoa; Malacalcyonacea; Plexauridae. The record is from the annotation of a GenBank genome assembly.